GUCGAGGGGUAUAGGUUUUCGGACCUAGAGACCGGCGCACGGGUGCGUAACGCGUAUGCAAUCUACCUUUUACAGAGGGAUAGCCCAGAGAAAUUUGGAUUAAUACCUCAUAGUAUAAUGACUCGGCAUCGAGAUAUUAUUAAAGUCACAACGGUAAAAGAUGAGCAUGCGUCCCAUUAGCUUGUUGGUAAGGUAACGGCUUACCAAGGCAACGAUGGGUAGGGGUCCUGAGAGGGAGAUCCCCCACACUGGUACUGAGACACGGACCAGACUCCUACGGGAGGCAGCAGUGAGGAAUAUUGGUCAAUGGGCGCAAGCCUGAACCAGCCAUGCCGCGUGCAGGAUGAAGCAUCUAUGGUGUGUAAACUGCUUUUGUACGAGAAGAAACACUCCUACGUGUAGGAGCUUGACGGUAUCGUAAGAAUAAGGACCGGCUAACUCCGUGCCAGCAGCCGCGGUAAUACGGAGGGUCCAAGCGUUAUCCGGAAUCAUUGGGUUUAAAGGGUCCGUAGGCGGUUUUGUAAGUCAGUGGUGAAAGCCCAUCGCUCAACGGUGGAACGGCCAUUGAUACUGCAAGACUUGAAUUAUUGGGAAGCAACUAGAAUAUGUAGUGUAGCGGUGAAAUGCUUAGAGAUUACAUGGAAUACCAAUUGCGAAGGCAGGUUGCUACCAAUACAUUGACGCUGAUGGACGAAAGCGUGGGGAGCGAACAGGAUUAGAUACCCUGGUAGU
This 732-nucleotide ribosomal RNA is filed under the name uncultured Bacteroidota bacterium. RNAcentral describes it as "bacterial SSU rRNA". It matches the Rfam family "Bacterial small subunit ribosomal RNA", at positions 61 to 794 of the family's 1533-position model. Lineage: Bacteria; Pseudomonadati; Bacteroidota. The record is from RNAcentral.